GGCGGCGUGCCUAAUACAUGCAAGUAGAACGCUGAAGAGAGGAGCUUGCUCUUCUUGGAUGAGUUGCGAACGGGUGAGUAACGCGUAGGUAACCUGCCUUGUAGCGGGGGAUAACUAUUGGAAACGAUAGCUAAUACCGCAUAACAAUGGAUGACACAUGUCAUUUAUUUGAAAGGGGCAAUUGCUCCACUACAAGAUGGACCUGCGUUGUAUUAGCUAGUAGGUGAGGUAACGGCUCACCUAGGCGACGAUACAUAGCCGACCUGAGAGGGUGAUCGGCCACACUGGGACUGAGACACGGCCCAGACUCCUACGGGAGGCAGCAGUAGGGAAUCUUCGGCAAUGGGGGCAACCCUGACCGAGCAACGCCGCGUGAGUGAAGAAGGUUUUCGGAUCGUAAAGCUCUGUUGUAAGUCAAGAACGAGUGUGAGAGUGGAAAGUUCACACUGUGACGGUAGCUUACCAGAAAGGGACGGCUAACUACGUGCCAGCAGCCGCGGUAAUACGUAGGUCCCGAGCGUUGUCCGGAUUUAUUGGGCGUAAAGCGAGCGCAGGCGGUUUGAUAAGUCUGAAGUUAAAGGCUGUGGCUCAACCAUAGUUCGCUUUGGAAACUGUCAAACUUGAGUGCAGAAGGGGAGAGUGGAAUUCCAUGUGUAGCGGUGAAAUGCGUAGAUAUAUGGAGGAACACCGGUGGCGAAAGCGGCUCUCUGGUCUGUAACUGACGCUGAGGCUCGAAAGCGUGGGGAGCGAACAGGAUUAGAUACCCUGGUAGUCCACGCCGUAAACGAUGAGUGCUAGGUGUUGGAUCCUUUCCGGGAUUCAGUGCCGCAGCUAACGCAUUAAGCACUCCGCCUGGGGAGUACGACCGCAAGGUUGAAACUCAAAGGAAUUGACGGGGGCCCGCACAAGCGGUGGAGCAUGUGGUUUAAUUCGAAGCAACGCGAAGAACCUUACCAGGUCUUGACAUCCCGAUGCUAUUUCUAGAGAUAGAAAGUUACUUCGGUACAUCGGUGACAGGUGGUGCAUGGUUGUCGUCAGCUCGUGUCGUGAGAUGUUGGGUUAAGUCCCGCAACGAGCGCAACCCCUAUUGUUAGUUGCCAUCAUUCAGUUGGGCACUCUAGCGAGACUGCCGGUAAUAAACCGGAGGAAGGUGGGGAUGACGUCAAAUCAUCAUGCCCCUUAUGACCUGGGCUAC
RNAcentral lists this ribosomal RNA (1195 nucleotides) under Streptococcus sp. SR4. RNAcentral's name for it is "bacterial SSU rRNA". It matches the Rfam family "Bacterial small subunit ribosomal RNA", at positions 38 to 1217 of the family's 1533-position model. The record is from RNAcentral. Lineage: Bacteria; Bacillati; Bacillota; Bacilli; Lactobacillales; Streptococcaceae.